RNAcentral lists this ribosomal RNA (497 nucleotides) under uncultured bacterium. Its description in RNAcentral is "partial 16S ribosomal RNA". It matches the Rfam family "Bacterial small subunit ribosomal RNA", at positions 28 to 507 of the family's 1533-position model. The record is from RNAcentral.
GAUGAACGCUGGCGGCGUGCCUAAUACAUGCAAGUCGAGCGAACAGACGAGGAGCUUGCUCCUCUGACGUUAGCGGCGGACGGGUGAGUAACACGUGGAUAACCUACCUAUAAGACUGGGAUAACUUCGGGAAACCGGAGCUAAUACCGGAUAAUAUAUUGAACCGCAUGGUUCAAUAGUGAAAGACGGUUUUGCUGUCACUUAUAGAUGGAUCCGCGACGCAUUAGCUAGUUGGUAAGGUAACGGCUUAGCAAGGCAACGAUGCGUAGCCGACCUGAGAGGGUGAUCGGCCACACUGGAACUGAGACACGGUCCAGACUCCUACGGGAGGCAGCAGUAGGGAAUCUUCCGCAAUGGGCGAAAGCCUGACGGAGCAACGCCGCGUGAGUGAUGAAGGUCUUCGGAUCGUAAAACUCUGUUAUUAGGGAAGAACAAAUGUGUAAGUAACUAUGCACGUCUUGACGGUACCUAAUCAGAAAGCCACGGCUAACUACGUG